RNAcentral lists this ribosomal RNA (301 nucleotides) under uncultured bacterium. RNAcentral describes it as "partial 16S ribosomal RNA". It matches the Rfam family "Bacterial small subunit ribosomal RNA", at positions 509 to 807 of the family's 1533-position model. The record is from RNAcentral.
CAGUAGCCGCGGUAAUACGAAGGGGGCUAGCGUUGCUCGGAAUUACUGGGCGUAAAGGGAGCGUAGGCGGACAUUUAAGUCAGGGGUGAAAUCCCAGAGCUCAACUCUGGAACUGCCUUUGAUACUGGGUGUCUUGAGUGUGAUAGAGGUAUGUGAAACUCCGAGUGUAGAGGUGAAAUUCGUAGAUAUUCGGAAGAACACCAGUGGCGAAGGCGACAUACUGGAUCAUUACUGACGCUGAGGCUCGAAAGCGUGGGGAGCAAACAGGAUUAGAUACCCCCGUAGUCCCUGUCUCUUAUAC